UACAAUUUCAAUAAUGCCUA
Molecule: non-coding RNA, 20 nt
Filed under: Arabidopsis thaliana (thale cress)
Lineage: Eukaryota; Viridiplantae; Streptophyta; Magnoliopsida; Brassicales; Brassicaceae
Source: RNAcentral